Non-coding RNA from Cordylochernes scorpioides, 81 nucleotides. Lineage: Eukaryota; Metazoa; Arthropoda; Arachnida; Pseudoscorpiones; Chernetidae. The record is from the annotation of a GenBank genome assembly.
GUCCAGGGAUGGGAAUCGAACCCACACUGUUCCGCUUACCGCCCAGUAAUAAAGAUGUCAUAUCCACUAGGCUACCCUGGA